UGGGGAAUCUUGCGCAAUGGGCGAAAGCCUGACGCAGCGACGCCGCGUGCGGGAAGAAGGCCUUCGGGUUGUAAACCGCUUUCAGGAGGGACGAAGCCACUCGGGUGAAUAGCCCAGAGGGUGACGGUACCUCCAGAAGAAGCCCCGGCUAACUACGUGCCAGCAGCCGCGGUAAUACGUAGGGGGCAAGCGUUGUCCGGAUUCAUUGGGCGUAAAGCGCGUGUAGGCGGCUGAGUAGGUCUGAUGUGAAAACUCGAGGCUCAACCUCGAGACGUCGUCAGAAACCACUCGGCUAGAGUCCGGAAGAGGAGAGUGGAAUUCCUGGUGUAGCGGUGAAAUGCGCAGAUAUCAGGAAGAACACCAAUGGCGAAGGCAGCUCUCUGGGACGGUACUGACGCUG
This 400-nucleotide ribosomal RNA is filed under the name uncultured bacterium. Its description in RNAcentral is "bacterial SSU rRNA". It matches the Rfam family "Bacterial small subunit ribosomal RNA", at positions 355 to 748 of the family's 1533-position model. The record is from RNAcentral.